This 194-nucleotide unclassified non-coding RNA is filed under the name uncultured Auricularia. RNAcentral describes it as "sequence contains ITS2". The record is from RNAcentral. Lineage: Eukaryota; Fungi; Basidiomycota; Agaricomycetes; Auriculariales; Auriculariaceae.
AAACCCUCACCCCUGCGAUGUAACAAUCGCAGCGCGGUGGACUUGGACUGUGCCGUAACCGGCUCGUCUUGAAAUGCAUUAGCUGGCGCUUUUAGAGUGCUGGGCGACGGUGUGAUAAUUAUCUGCGCCAAUGCCCUGGGCCUCUUCAGCGGUGCCGCUUACAGCCGUCCCUCCGUGGACAACUUAUUUUAAAG